AAACUACAAUGAGAUAUCAUCUCACACCAGUCAGAAUGGCCAUCAUCAAAAAAUCUACAAACAGUAAAUGCUGGAGAGGGUGUGGAGAAAAGGGAACCCUCUUGCUCUGUUGGUGGGAAUGUAAAUUGAUACAGCCACUAUGGAGAACAGUAUGGAGGUUCCUUAAAAAACUAAAAACAGAACUACCAUAUGACCCAGCAAUCCCACUACUGGGCAUACACCCUGAGAAAACCAUAAUUCAAAAGGACACAUGUACCCCAAUGUUCACUGCAGCACUAUUUACAACAGCCAGGACACAAAAACAACCUAAAUGUCCAAAGACAGAUGAAUGGGUAAAGAAGAUGUGGUACAUGUAUACAAUGGAAUAUUAUUCAGCCAUAAAAAGGAACGAAAUUGGUCAUUUGUAGAGAUGUGGAUGGAUCUAGAGACUGUCAUACAGAGUGAAGCCAGAAAGAGAAAAACAAAUAUCGUAUAUUAACGCAUAUAUGUGGAAUCUAGAAAAAUGGUACAGAUGAACCUAUUUGUAGGGCAGCAAUAGAGUCAUAGGUACAGAGAACGGACAUGUGAACACAGAGGGGGAACAGGAGGGUUGGAUGAACUGGGAGAUUAGGUUUGACAUAAAUACACUACCAGGUGUUAAACAGAUAGCUAGUGGGAACCUGCUGUAUAGCACAGGGAGCUCAGCUUGGUGCUUUGUGAUGACCUAGGUGGAUGGGAUAGGGGGUGGGGAGGGGGAGGUCCAAGAGGGAAGAGAUAUAUGUAUACAUAUAGCUGACUCACUUCACUGUAUAGCAGAAACUAACAGAAUAUUGUAAAGCAAUUAUACUCCAAUUAAAAAACAAAAAGAAUCACUAAUUAUUAGAGAAAUGCAAAUCAAAACUACAAUGAGGUUAUCACCUCACACCAUUUAGAAUGGGCAUCAUCAGAAAAUCUACGAACACCAAAUGCUUAAGAGGGUGUGGAGAAAAGGGAACCCUCUUGCACUGUUGGUGGGAAUGUAAAUUGAUACAGCCACUGCGGAGAAGAGUAUGGAGGUUCCUUAAAAAACUAAAAAUAGAACUACUAUAUGACCCAGCAAUCCCACUACUGGGCAUAUACCCAGAGAAAACCGUAAUUCAAAAAGACACAUGCACCCCAAUGUUCACUGCAGCACUAUUUACAAUAGCCAGGUCAUGGAAGCAACUUAAAUGCCCAUCAACAGACGAAUUAAAGAAAAUGUGGUACAUAUAUACAAUGGAAUAUUACUCGGCCAUAAAAAGGAAUGAAACUGGGUUAUUUGUAGAGAUGUGGAUGGCUCUAGAGACAGUCAUACAGGGUGAAGUCAGUCAGAAAGAGAAAAACAAAUAUAGUAUAUUAACGCAUAUAUGUGGAACCUAGAAAAAUGGUACAGAUGAACUGGUUUGCAGGGCAGAAAUUGAGACACAGAUGUAGACAACAAACGUAUGAAUACCAAGGGGGGAAAGUGGUAGAGGGCGGGUGGUGGUGGGAUGAAUUGGGAGAUUGGGAUUGACAUGUAUACACUAAUAUGUAUAAAAUAGAUAAUAAGAACCUGCUGUAUAAGAAAAUAAAUAAA
Molecule: long non-coding RNA, 1573 nt
Organism: Orcinus orca (killer whale)
Lineage: Eukaryota; Metazoa; Chordata; Mammalia; Artiodactyla; Delphinidae
Exons: 2
Source: RefSeq, a predicted model, not a curated record